AACGAACGCUGGCGGCAGGCUUAACACAUGCAAGUCGAGCGCCCCGCAAGGGGAGCGGCAGACGGGUGAGUAACGCGUGGGAAUCUACCGAGCCCUAAGGAAUAGCUCCGGGAAACUGGAAUUAAUACCUUAUACGCCCUUCGGGGGAAAGAUUUAUCGGGGUUUGAUGAGCCCGCGUUGGAUUAGCUAGUUGGUGGGGUAAAGGCCUACCAAGGCGACGAUCCAUAGCUGGUCUGAGAGGAUGAUCAGCCACAUUGGGACUGAGACACGGCCCAAACUCCUACGGGAGGCAGCAGUGGGGAAUAUUGGACAAUGGGCGCAAGCCUGAUCCAGCCAUGCCGCGUGAGUGAUGAAGGCCCUAGGGUUGUAAAGCUCUUUCACCGGUGAAGAUAAUGACGGUAACCGGAGAAGAAGCCCCGGCUAACUUCGUGCCAGCCGCCGCGGUAACAC
This 450-nucleotide ribosomal RNA is filed under the name uncultured bacterium. RNAcentral describes it as "bacterial SSU rRNA". It matches the Rfam family "Bacterial small subunit ribosomal RNA", at positions 29 to 526 of the family's 1533-position model. The record is from RNAcentral.